Molecule: ribosomal RNA, 1300 nt
Filed under: Desikacharya thermotolerans
Lineage: Bacteria; Bacillati; Cyanobacteriota; Cyanophyceae; Nostocales; Nodulariaceae
Description: 16S ribosomal RNA
Rfam family: Bacterial small subunit ribosomal RNA (bases 1-1163)
Source: RNAcentral
GGGGAAUUUUCCGCAAUGGGCGAAAGCCUGACGGAGCAAUACCGCGUGAGGGAGAAAGGGGCUUGGGGUGUAAACCUCUUUUUUCAAGGAAUAAGAAAAGAAGGUAAUUGAGGAAUCAGCAUCGGCUAACUCCGUGCCAGCAGCCGCGGUAAUACGGAGGAUGCAAGCGUUAUCCGGAAUGAUUGGGCGUAAAGCGUCCGCAGGUGGCUGUGUAAGUCUGCUGUUAAAGAGUCUAGCUUAACUAGAUAAAAGCAGUGGAAACUACAUAGCUAGAGUGCGUUCGGGGUAGAGGGAAUUCCUGGUGUAGCGGUGAAAUGCGUAGAGAUCAGGAAGAACACCGGUGGCGAAGGCGGUCUACUAGGCCGCAACUGACACUGAGGGACGAAAGCUAGGGGAGCGAAUGGGAUUAGAUACCCCAGUAGUCCUAGCCGUAAACGAUGGAUACUAGGCGUUGCGAGUAUCGACCCUCCCAGUGCCGGAGCCAACGCGUUAAGUAUCCCGCCUGGGGAGUACGCACGCAAGUGUGAAACUCAAAGGAAUUGACGGGGGCCCGCACAAGCGGUGGAGUAUGUGGUUUAAUUCGAUGCAACGCGAAGAACCUUACCAAGACUUGACAUGUCGCGAACCCUGAUGAAAGUUAGGGGUGCCUUCGGGAGCGCGAACACAGGUGGUGCAUGGCUGUCGUCAGCUCGUGUCGUGAGAUGUUGGGUUAAGUCCCGCAACGAGCGCAACCCUCGUUUUUAGUUGCCAGCAUUAAGUUGGGCACUCUAGAGAGACUGCCGGUGACAAACCGGAGGAAGGUGGGGAUGACGUCAAGUCAGCAUGCCCCUUACGUCUUGGGCUACACACGUACUACAAUGCUCCGAACAGAGGGCAGCGAGCGUGCGAACGCAAGCAAAUCCCGGAAAUCGGAGCUCAGUUCAGAUCGAAGGCUGCAACUCGCCUUCGUGAAGGAGGAAUCGCUAGUAAUUGCAGGUCAGCAUACUGCAGUGAAUUCGUUCCCGGGCCUUGUACACACCGCCCGUCACACCAUGGAAGCUGGCAACGCCCGAAGUCAUUACCCCAACUUUUCAAAGAGGGGGAUGCCUAAGGCAGUGCUGGUGACUGGGGUGAAGUCGUAACAAGGUAGCCGUACCGGAAGGUGUGGCUGGAUCACCUCCUUUUAGGGAGACCUACCCAAAUUGGAAUCGAAAGCAAGCAGCGAAUAGAGAACAAGAUGGUCAACCAAGGUCGGUCGAGAUUGGUAAAAGCUUUCAAAGUAUUGAAUGGUUCGGAGUAAAAAACCAGAAAAAAAGAGAAA